This 442-nucleotide ribosomal RNA is filed under the name Vibrio harveyi. RNAcentral's name for it is "bacterial SSU rRNA". It matches the Rfam family "Bacterial small subunit ribosomal RNA", at positions 67 to 508 of the family's 1533-position model. Lineage: Bacteria; Pseudomonadati; Pseudomonadota; Gammaproteobacteria; Vibrionales; Vibrionaceae. The record is from RNAcentral.
CUUCGGGGGACGAUAACGGCGUCGAGCGGCGGACGGGUGAGUAAUGCCUAGGAAAUUGCCCUGAUGUGGGGGAUAACCAUUGGAAACGAUGGCUAAUACCGCAUAAUGCCUACGGGCCAAAGAGGGGGACCUUCGGGCCUCUCGCGUCAGGAUAUGCCUAGGUGGGAUUAGCUAGUUGGUGAGGUAAUGGCUCACCAAGGCGACGAUCCCUAGCUGGUCUGAGAGGAUGAUCAGCCACACUGGAACUGAGACACGGUCCAGACUCCUACGGGAGGCAGCAGUGGGGAAUAUUGCACAAUGGGCGCAAGCCUGAUGCAGCCAUGCCGCGUGUGUGAAGAAGGCCUUCGGGUUGUAAAGCACUUUCAGUCGUGAGGAAGGUGGUGUAGUUAAUAGCUGCAUUACUUGACGUUAGCGACAGAAGAAGCACCGGCUAACUCCGUGC